ACCACUCAGGAUGAACGCUGGCGGCGUGCCUAAUACAUGCAAGUCGAACGAGUUCUCGUUGAUGAUCGGUGCUUGCACCGAGAUUCAACAUGGAACGAGUGGCGGACGGGUGAGUAACACGUGGGUAACCUGCCCUUAAGUGGGGGAUAACAUUUGGAAACAGAUGCUAAUACCGCAUAGAUCCAAGAACCGCAUGGUUCUUGGCUGAAAGAUGGCGUAAGCUAUCGCUUUUGGAUGGACCCGCGGCGUAUUAGCUAGUUGGUGAGGUAAUGGCUCACCAAGGCGAUGAUACGUAGCCGAACUGAGAGGUUGAUCGGCCACAUUGGGACUGAGACACGGCCCAAACUCCUACGGGAGGCAGCAGUAGGGAAUCUUCCACAAUGGACGCAAGUCUGAUGGAGCAACGCCGCGUGAGUGAAGAAGGCUUUCGGGUCGUAAAACUCUGUUGUUGGAGAAGAAUGGUCGGCAGAGUAACUGUUGUCGGCGUGACGGUAUCCAACCAGAAAGCCACGGCUAACUACGUGCCAGCAGCCGCGGUAAUACGUAGGUGGCAAGCGUUAUCCGGAUUUAUUGGGCGUAAAGCGAGCGCAGGCGGUUUUUUAAGUCUGAUGUGAAAGCCCUCGGCUUAACCGAGGAAGCGCAUCGGAAACUGGGAAACUUGAGUGCAGAAGAGGACAGUGGAACUCCAUGUGUAGCGGUGAAAUGCGUAGAUAUAUGGAAGAACACCAGUGGCGAAGGCGGCUGUCUGGUCUGUAACUGACGCUGAG
RNAcentral lists this ribosomal RNA (767 nucleotides) under Lacticaseibacillus paracasei. Its description in RNAcentral is "bacterial SSU rRNA". It matches the Rfam family "Bacterial small subunit ribosomal RNA", at positions 19 to 750 of the family's 1533-position model. Lineage: Bacteria; Bacillati; Bacillota; Bacilli; Lactobacillales; Lactobacillaceae. The record is from RNAcentral.